RNAcentral lists this small RNA (885 nucleotides) under Pan troglodytes (chimpanzee). Its description in RNAcentral is "processed transcript". Lineage: Eukaryota; Metazoa; Chordata; Mammalia; Primates; Hominidae. The record is from RNAcentral.
GCGCUGAAGGGUGUCCCCGCACUGCUGUCCCCCGAGCUGCUCUACGCGCUGGCGCGGAUGGGGCACGGGGACGAGAUCGGCAGGGACCUUGCCCUCCCCACCUCCCCGCGUGGCUUCCAGCCCUGCAGAUCUGACUGCGGCCGGUCGGCGGUGGGGGCGCCCAACUGGCUGACCUGAGACCUCUCGUGACCCACGACCUGCCGCCAUGACUGGGUGGGAGGACGGGCGGCGCCGACCCCGAGGGCAGGGAUAGGUGCUGACCACGGGCUGUCCUCCCGGCUGUUUAGUUCUUGCGGACUUGAACUUCCCGGCCUCCUCCAUCUGCCAGUGUGGGCCCAUGGAGAUCCGUGCAGACGGCCUGGGCAUCCCGCAGCUCCUGGAGGCCGUGCUGAAGCUGCUGCCCCUGGACACCUAUGUGGAGAGUCCGGCUGCAGUCAUGGAGCUGGUGCCCAGCGACAAGGAGAGGGGCCUGCAGACCCCAGUGUGGACGGAGUACGAGUCCAUCCUACGCAGGGCCGGCUGUGCGAGAGCCCUGGCAAAGAUAGAGAGGUUUGAGUUUUAUGAACGGGCUAAGAAGGCUUUUGCUGUUGUGGCAACGGGGGAGAUGGCCCUCUACGGAAACCUCAUCCUCAAGAAGGGGGUGCUUGCACUCAACCCCCUGCUGUAGGCCUGGUGAAGACCACCUGGGCCGGAAGAGGAAUUGGGGGCACCCUGAGCUCCAGUACCACCACUCACAACAGGCCUCCCAGUGGCAGCUCCCAGACCUGGGCCCUGGCCAGGGCUCUAGGGGGCCGGCAGUCUUGGGGUGGGCCCUGCCUAUUGGGACGAGUGUCCCUGAUUUGUGAAAACGAUGGAAAAACGUAGUCACUGGUCAACGUUCAGUCU